UGAGGAAUAUUGGUCAAUGGGCGGCAGCCUGAACCAGCCAUCCCGCGUGAAGGAAGAAUGCGCUAUGCGUUGUAAACUUCUUUUUCAGGGGGAUAAAAUUCUGUAUGUAUACAGGACUGAAGGUACCCUGAGAAUAAGCAUCGGCUAACUCCGUGCCAGCAGCCGCGGUAAUACGGAGGAUGCGAGCGUUAUCCGGAUUUAUUGGGUUUAAAGGGUGCGUAGGCGGAAUAAUAAGUCAGUGGUGAAACCCUGCAGCUUAACUGUA
Molecule: ribosomal RNA, 265 nt
Filed under: uncultured bacterium
Lineage: Bacteria
Description: partial 16S ribosomal RNA
Rfam family: Bacterial small subunit ribosomal RNA
Source: RNAcentral